RNAcentral lists this ribosomal RNA (301 nucleotides) under uncultured bacterium. RNAcentral's name for it is "partial 16S ribosomal RNA". It matches the Rfam family "Bacterial small subunit ribosomal RNA", at positions 509 to 809 of the family's 1533-position model. The record is from RNAcentral.
CAGUAGCCGCGGGAAUACAGAGGGUGCAAGCGUUAAUCGGAAUUACUGGGCGUAAAGCGCGCGUAGGUGGUUUGUUAAGUUGGAUGUGAAAUCCCCGGGCUCAACCUGGGAACUGCAUUCAAAACUGACUGACUAGAGUAUGGUAGAGGGUGGUGGAAUUUCCUGUGUAGCGGUGAAAUGCGUAGAUAUAGGAAGGAACACCAGUGGCGAAGGCGACCACCUGGACUAAUACUGACACUGAGGUGCGAAAGCGUGGGGAGCAAACAGGGUUAGAUACCCCUGUAGUCCCUGUCUCUUAUAU